Molecule: long non-coding RNA, 484 nt
Filed under: Carica papaya (papaya)
Lineage: Eukaryota; Viridiplantae; Streptophyta; Magnoliopsida; Brassicales; Caricaceae
Description: long non-coding RNA (CPAP_LNC014968)
Source: RNAcentral
UCCGUUUCUUUAUAAUUUUUGUAUUUAAUUUUCUCAAUGAUAAUACAUUUAAAACUUUCACAUAAAAUGCUAGUGAGUUCCUAGAGCUGGGCCGAUACUCCCUGAAGACAUUGAUGGAUGAAGGCAAGAAGGCCAGGAGAUUCCAGUGGGGCCUCCGCCCAAAAAUCAAGCAACACUUAUUGGUACUGGAGCUCAAGACAUACUCAGCCGUUUUAGUAAAGGCACAGAUUGUGGAGAGAAGUUUCAACACCCAUCCUCAGUCAGCAGGGAGUCGCCGACCCUCAGCUCCACCCCGCAGACUAGUACCCAUUGCGUCGGUCCAACCAAAUAAGAGGCCCAGACCAGUGAUCCAGGCCCCUCCUUAGGCUCCAGGGGUAGCACGUGGAAAGAUAUGCCAACACUGUGGUAGGGAUCACAGGGACCGACCAUGCUACCGCCUCAACAACACCUGCCGCAUAUGUGGCAGUGCCCAGCACUAUGCGAG